GAUCUUGACAUUGAAUUGGAUUCAAAAAAGAGGGAAGUGUCAAAGAUUGAGGAUUCCAAUUUGUCAAGGCAGGAAACUCCGGAGGAUCCAAUCCAGAAUCCCAUCCUGCAAUUUGUCUCUGCUGGUUCAAGGCCUCUAGGCUUCUUUAAACAGACAGGAUGCCCAGCUCACGGCUGAAGGCUGGCAUGGGACAGGGUCUAAUAAACUGAUUCGGAAAGGUACCGCUGGGAACUGAGUGACGACUGCCCAAGGUCAGGAGCCAGAGACAGAGCCCAUCAGACCCCAGGUAAGGGCUGGGCAAUACAGCGGCCGUUCGAGGGAAAAUCUGCCUCAGACGUGGCAUUUGCGUUCGGUUCUAAGAUGUGCAGAUUAGCAGCACAUGCACAUGGUAACUUAGGCAUUGGGAAAAUACAAUUUAUUAUUGUCAUUCUUUUCAGAUUAUCCAUUAACUUGUGA
This is a non-coding RNA of Manis javanica (Malayan pangolin), 456 nucleotides long. The record is from RefSeq and is a predicted model, not a curated record. NCBI's taxonomy places the organism in Eukaryota, Metazoa, Chordata, Mammalia, Pholidota, Manidae.